GUUCCCAUACGAUCACCGAAGUUAAGCAACGUCGAGCCUGGUCAGUACCUAGAUGGGUGACAGCUUGGGAAUACCAAGCGCUGUAAG
Molecule: non-coding RNA, 87 nt
Organism: Acanthosepion pharaonis
Lineage: Eukaryota; Metazoa; Mollusca; Cephalopoda; Sepiida; Sepiidae
Source: the annotation of a GenBank genome assembly